Notolabrus celidotus (New Zealand spotty) is the source of this 1072-nucleotide long non-coding RNA. RefSeq lists it as uncharacterized. NCBI's taxonomy places the organism in Eukaryota, Metazoa, Chordata, Actinopteri, Labriformes, Labridae. The transcript is spliced from 3 exons. The record is from RefSeq and is a predicted model, not a curated record.
CAGACAGGAGUGUGGGAGAAUGUGAUACUCACUGCUUGGCCGGGGGCUCCUUGGGGUCCUUCUAUAAGCAUCCCCUGAAAAAGAAAAAAAGUGGAUACAGUAGCAUUAAAGGGCAGCCUGUGAAUCCACAGGCAACGGAGACUGUGAGGUAACUGUGACCUCCACUCACCUACAGACAUAAGACAGACAAGAAUGCUCCAAGCUACAACCCAAUACCAUGAGAAACAACAAACAAAAGGACACCGCCAACAACCCUUCAAACAAAUGCCACCAGCAUCUUCUCCAUCUUUCCACAUUCUUGACCACCAUCUCCGUACUCCCACCCCCCCACAACAAAACCACUACAGCACUCACGCUGCUCUCUCUGAUGUCGGUCUCCGCUGGUACACCAGGACCAAACUCGUCUUCAUAUGUUUCAGAUGUUGGUUUGGCAUCAGCAGUGCCGUAUUCAUAAAAGUCUUUGGUGUCAUAUUCCUUCAGGUCGUAUUCCUUAAACUCAUACACGUCAGUGGCAGGAUCCACAUUCUCUUUGGUUUCAACUGGAGCAGCGGUUUCCACUGCGGCAGUGGGGUCCGCCCCAACCUGUUCCACGCCAGUGAUGUAAUCAUCCACGAUUUCCCCUUCGUAAUUCUUGGAUGAGUCCAGGAAUUGAGAAGAAGGGGCAAGGGUUGAAGAUGCAAGAUGGGGGAGAAACAUGGAGGCUUGGUUAGUGGAAUAGAAUCAUAUGAACACCUUCAAUGAGGCACAUGAACAUGAAAAUGCCAAGCAGUGUUACAUCAAAUGCUUCAUUACAAGUAAUGAAAGUGUUCCUGUGGUCAAUCAUAAAGAAACUACCAGGCCUCUCACUCAAAUGUAAUAUAAUAGACACUCUUGUUCAAAGUUGAUGACAAAAAGAUGACUAUUAACUCGUUGGGAUCUUAUUACAGUGCAGAAUUUCUCAGGGUUGAUUCAUUCGGUCAGACGGACCAGAGGUUUAGCUGCAAGAGUCAGAUGUUCUACAGUUUACUUAAAGAUAUUAACAAAGUUUAUGAAGUAAUGUGUCUUGUUUUCCAUAAAUAUUGCGACAAUAUAA